CGGCGACCACGAAGAAACGGAGGAGUAACAACUGCAGCCGCCACCAUGGUGUUGAAGACCGAGCUUUGUCGAUUCAGUGGAGCGAAGAUAUAUCCGGGUAAAGGAAUCAGAUUUGUUCGUGCAGAUUCACAGGUUUUCCUGUUUGCUAACUCCAAAUGCAAGAGGUACUUCCAUAACAGAUUGAAGCCUUCUAAGCUCACCUGGACAGCAAUGUACAGGAAGCAACAUAAGAAG
Molecule: unclassified non-coding RNA, 234 nt
Filed under: Hevea brasiliensis (rubber tree)
Lineage: Eukaryota; Viridiplantae; Streptophyta; Magnoliopsida; Malpighiales; Euphorbiaceae
Source: RNAcentral